UCGGAGAGAUCUAUUCGUCGGCAC
Molecule: non-coding RNA, 24 nt
Filed under: Arabidopsis thaliana (thale cress)
Lineage: Eukaryota; Viridiplantae; Streptophyta; Magnoliopsida; Brassicales; Brassicaceae
Source: RNAcentral